UGCCUGGCGGCUUUAGCGCGGUGGUCCCACCUGACCCCAUGCCGAACUCAGAAGUGAAACGCCGUAGCGCCGAUGGUAGUGUGGGGCCUCCCCAUGCGAGAGUAGGGAACUGCCAGGCAUU
This 121-nucleotide ribosomal RNA is filed under the name Pantoea anthophila. Lineage: Bacteria; Pseudomonadati; Pseudomonadota; Gammaproteobacteria; Enterobacterales; Erwiniaceae. The record is from RNAcentral.